This 2390-nucleotide long non-coding RNA is filed under the name Nicotiana benthamiana. Its description in RNAcentral is "long non-coding RNA (NBEN_LNC019887)". The record is from RNAcentral. Lineage: Eukaryota; Viridiplantae; Streptophyta; Magnoliopsida; Solanales; Solanaceae.
GAAGGUCCGAUUUUAUAAAUUUGAGAGCCCCUCUCUUAGAGGAGACCUAGAGGAGAUCGUCUUGUUCAAGACCCCAACAGUUGUUCCCCUCUUUCUUCUUCCUCAUUCUAUAGAUCACACCAAACAGAGGAAGGGAACAGUAGCAAAAUACAGUAGGAAUAAAGAUCCUAAGACCUCCUGAUGCUCCUCUAUGAGAACAAAGAAUGCUUCCCCCAAUUUUAGAAAGUAAAUUCCAGAUUUGAAAGAAUUCAAAAGGGUUUAAACAGAAACACAAAGAGCUCAGAAAGGAUUGUUUCGAUUUUUGCCGAGAUUUGAUGCCGAUUUUCUGGUUUUGCUGAAGAAGUUUUAUUGUUAUUGUUUACUAUUUGGGCGUUCGAAUUUCAUACUCUAGCUUCGAGCUUUGCUGAUUCUUGUUUAGCUGAUUCUUCGCACUUUGUAGUUGCUUAUUUUAGAGAUUUAUCUUCUAUUUAGCUCGGGUUCUGCUGUAAUCAGGUACUACAUUUUGGUUGAAUAGUAUAAAGCUCGUAUUUGUUUGGGUGAGAUUUGUAUGGAAUUAUGAUGGUUUCAUUUGUUUCAUUUCUACGAUUGAUUGAUAGCUAUUUUUACUUUCUUUUUGCGAUUUUUCUAAACUAUUGUGAUUUGUUUGGAAUGUGGAGAUGAAUAUUAAAUUUAAGUCUAGUAUGAUUACUUAGCAAAAUAAGGAAAAGGAAGGAUUGAAAUCUGCACUUUUUCUUUUUAUUGAGUAAAAUGGGCUGAAGGAUAAAAUUUAGUAAGCACGGGAGAAACAGAACAAAGACAGAUUUGAAAAUUUUAGCCAAAAACCAACUUUGAGGUUCUUGUUCCGCUCGUAAUUCAAUUUUUUAGUGUAGAUCAUAUAGCUGGAUUUCUUCUUUGCUGGUUUGACGGUGAUAUAUAAGUUUACUUAGAGACUUUAAAAUUUGAUCCAGAAGAGAUGUUUCAAUUAAAAAGUUUGUUGCUUUUCACCAUUAUUUUUGGCAGAACAAUUUUUUCUUUUGUUGUCAUGAAAUUGGUACAACAUUGUUUCCAUAUUCAAGCUUGUUUCAGUAAGUUGUAAAGUUAAGGUCUAUUGUCUUUUUUGUCCACAAUUUAUUUGAAUUGGUUAUUUAUUUUGGAGUUUUGUUUUAGUUUGAAGAAUUAAUUGUUUGAUAUAAGAUUUAAAAAAUAGUUAAGUGAAACUAUAUGAAAUGGAUUACACUAAUGGCACGAAAAUAUUUUGUUUGGAUUACUCACAUAAAAAUUAGAUUUGGGUCGUGGAUUAAGCAUACAUAGGCUAAAUAAUGUAGUCACUUAUGCUUGCUAAUUGUAAUAUUCCUUUUGAAAAGCUAAUUCACUUUUUAUCAAUAAUUUAUUUUAUAUCAUUCACACAAUAUCAUAUCCGCACUUCAAGACCUCACAACAACCCCAAAUGUUGGUGAUUAAGCCAUGAACAUCUGUAGUUUGCGUUAGGCACGUAAUUAAAUCAUUACAAUUACGGGUACCAUUCUCGUGACGUAGUUGUAAAACCUAAUUUCAAAUUAAAUUAAAUAGGAGCAUUCUUAGUUUGCUUUAGUGAAAUACAAAUCUUUUAAAAUCGAGGUGUGCCAUUCACAAUUGAAUCACCUAAUCUAUGGGCCUCACACUAAGGUCCCAUUCCCUAGCUAAUGACAACAUAACCUGGUAAUUCCUGAGGACCUUAUUUGGAAUAACUUGAUUACUUUUCUGGCAUAAUCCGUGGACAUUCCCGGCAUAAUCCGAGGAUCUUUUCCAGCAUAACUGGAUGACUUUCCCGGAAUAACCCUUGGACCUCCCCGGUAUAACUCGAGGACCUUUCCCGGCAUAACCUGCGGACCUCCCCGCCAUAACCCGAGGACCUUUUUUGGCAUAACCCGGUGAAUUUUCCAACAUAACCAUAGACCUCCUCGGCAUAACCCGAAGACCGUUUCCAGCAUAACCCGAUGACUUUUCUGGCAUGACCCGUGGACCUCCCGGGCAUAACCGAGGAUCUUUUUUGGCAUAGUCCGAUGACUAUCCCAGCAUAACCCGUAGACCUCCUCGGCAUAACUCGAUGACCUCUUUUCGGCAUAACCCGAUGAUUUUUCCGGCAUAACUUGGUCGUUUUUCCAGCAUAAUCUGGUAAUCUUCCCAACAUAAGGUCUCUGAUCCCCGUUUAGUUUCAUAUUAGAUGUAGAGUCUCCAUUCCCUCAUAUCUUUUUCUUAGGGAUACACAAUCCCAUUUUUAAUUGCUUUCAAUAAAGAAACAACUUAGAUUUUGUUGUAAUAACUAACAAAUUUUUUCCUAGUGAAAACAUGGACAGAAAAUUUUUAUUUGUUUGUUUGUUUUGGUGCCUGAACAGGUUUUACCGUAACGCACGAGGUUUUAGAUGACCAAA